RNAcentral lists this ribosomal RNA (916 nucleotides) under uncultured bacterium. RNAcentral describes it as "bacterial SSU rRNA". It matches the Rfam family "Bacterial small subunit ribosomal RNA", at positions 8 to 916 of the family's 1533-position model. The record is from RNAcentral.
AGAGUUUGAUCAUGGCUCAGAUUGAACGCUGGCGGUAUGCCUAACACAUGCAAGUCGAACGGUAACAUUGAAGCUUGCUUCAGAUGACGAGUGGCGGACGGGUGAGUAACGCGUGGGAAUCUACCUAGUAGUUGGGGAUAGCCCGGAGAAAUCCGGAUUAAUACCGAAUAAGGUCUACGGACGAAAAGGUGCCUCUUCUUGAAAGCACUUGCUAUUAGAUGAGCCCGCGUUAGAUUAGUUAGUUGGUGGGGUAAAGGCCUACCAAGACCACGAUCUAUAGCUGGUUUGAGAGGAUGAUCAGCCACAUUGGGACUGAGACACGGCCCAGACUCCUACGGGAGACAGCAGUGGGGAAUAUUGGACAAUGGGCGCAAGCCUGAUCCAGCAAUACCGCGUGUGUGAAGAAGGCCUUAGGGUUGUAAAGCACUUUUAUGUAGGAAGAAGGUGUGUUUGUUAAUAGCAGAUGCAUUUGACGGUACUACAAGAAUAAGGACCGGCUAACUCCGUGCCAGCAGCCGCGGUAAUACGGAGGGUCCGAGCGUUAAUCGGAAUUACUGGGCGUAAAGGGUACGUAGGCGGCUUUAUAAGUCAGAUGUGAAAUCCCCGGGCUUAACCUGGGAACUGCAUUUGAAACUGUAUGGCUAGAGUAAGUGAGAGGUUAGUGGAAUUCCAGGCGUAGCGGUGAAAUGCGUAGAGGUCUGGAGGAACAUCAGUGGCGAAGGCGACUAACUGGCACUAUACUGACGCUGAGGUACGAAAGCGUGGGGAGCGAACAGGAUUAGAUACCCUGAUAGUCCACGCCCUAAACGAUGAGGACUGGCUGUCAGUGCUAUAGACGCAUUGGUAGCGAAGCUAACGCGUUAAGUUCUCCGCCUGGGGAGUACGCCGCAAGGCUGAAACUCAAAGGAAUUGACGG